GGAGUCGGCCGGGCAACCGCGACAUCCCUCCGGGAUGCCGAGGAAAGUCCGGGCUCCACAGGGCACGGUGCCAGGUAACGCCUGGGCGGCGCGAGCCGACGGAAAGUGCAACAGAAAGAUACCGCCGAACGGUCCUGCGGGAUGCGUGGCAAGGGUGAAAUGGUGCGGUAAGGGCGCACCGCGAGCCUGGUAACAGGCCGGCACGGCAAACCCCACCGGGAGCAAGACCGAAUAGGGACCCCAUGACGUUGCCCGCGUCGGGUCCGGGUAGGUUGCUUGAGCGUAUCGGUGACGAUGCGCCCAGAGGAAUGGUUGCCCACGACAGAACCCGGCUUACAGGCCGGCUCCGCCA
Molecule: RNase P RNA, 352 nt
Filed under: Luteimonas sp. JM171
Lineage: Bacteria; Pseudomonadati; Pseudomonadota; Gammaproteobacteria; Lysobacterales; Lysobacteraceae
Description: Bacterial RNase P class A
Rfam family: Bacterial RNase P class A
About the family: Ribonuclease P (RNase P) is a ubiquitous endoribonuclease, found in archaea, bacteria and eukarya as well as chloroplasts and mitochondria. Its best characterised activity is the generation of mature 5'-ends of tRNAs by cleaving the 5'-leader elements of precursor-tRNAs. Cellular RNase Ps are ribonucleoproteins.
Source: Rfam by way of RNAcentral